UACGGAGGAUGCAAGCGUUAUCCGGAAUGAUUGGGCGUAAAGCGUCCGCAGGUGGCGAUGUAAGUCUGCUGUUAAAGAGUGAGGCUUAACCUCAUAAAAGCAGUGGAAACUACAUCGCUAGGGUGCGUUCGGGGCAGAGGGAAUUCCUGGUGUAGCGGUGAAAUGCGUAGAGGUCAGGAAGAACGCCGGUGGCGAAGGCGCUCUGCUAGGCCGCAACUGACACUGAGGGACGAAAGCUAGGGGAGCGAAUGGG
RNAcentral lists this ribosomal RNA (253 nucleotides) under uncultured bacterium. RNAcentral describes it as "partial 16S ribosomal RNA". It matches the Rfam family "Bacterial small subunit ribosomal RNA", at positions 524 to 776 of the family's 1533-position model. The record is from RNAcentral.